Molecule: unclassified non-coding RNA, 428 nt
Filed under: soil metagenome
Description: partial contains 5.8S ribosomal RNA, internal transcribed spacer 2, and large subunit ribosomal RNA
Rfam family: 5.8S ribosomal RNA (bases 1-120)
Source: RNAcentral
GAUGAAGAACGUAGCGAAAUGCGAUAAGUAAUGUGAAUUGCAGAUUUCAGUGAAUCAUCGAAUCUUUGAACGCACCUUGCGCCUUGUGGUAUUCCACAAGGCAUGCCCGUUUGAGUAUCAUUAAAUCAUCAACUCUAAAACCUUUGUGGUUUUUUUUUAGAGCUUGGUCUUGAGGGUUUUGCAGGCUUUUUUUUUUUUUUCGAGUCUGCUCCCUUUAAAUGCAUUAGCGAGACUUCCCUAUGCUGAACCGUCUCUUUGACGUGAUAAUUAUCUGCGUCGAAUUUUGGUUCUCGUUGGGCUUGCUUCUAAUCGUCUGUUAAAGACAAAACGGAUUUGGGUGCAUAUAUGCGCCUUUUUCCAAAACCUUUUUUUGAUCUCAAAUCGGGUAGGACUACCCGCUGAACUUAAGCAUAUCAAUAAGCGGAGGA